UUACUUACCUGGACGUGGUCAAUGUGCGAUUAAGAAGGCCCAUGGCCUAGAUCAGUGGCCCACAUUGCACUUGGUAGGUGCGCUGGUCUACCAUCUUGCGUUGGUUUACCAUCUUUUACCAUCUUCUCAAGUAGGAUCUUAAGUAGGAGAGUGGACGUCAUAAUAAGGGGGGUAUGCGUUCGUGCGGUCACUGA
Molecule: small nuclear RNA, 194 nt
Filed under: Setaria italica (foxtail millet)
Lineage: Eukaryota; Viridiplantae; Streptophyta; Magnoliopsida; Poales; Poaceae
Description: snRNA U1
Rfam family: U1 spliceosomal RNA
About the family: U1 is a small nuclear RNA (snRNA) component of the spliceosome (involved in pre-mRNA splicing). Its 5' end forms complementary base pairs with the 5' splice junction, thus defining the 5' donor site of an intron.
Source: Rfam by way of RNAcentral